ACGUGGGGGGCGGGCCUAUACAUGCAAGUCGAACGAACUCUGGUAAUGAUUGGUGCUUGCAUCAUGAAUUACAUUUGAGUGAGUGGCGAACUGGUGAGUAACACGUGGGAAACCUGCCCAGAAGCGGGGGAUAACACCUGGAAACAGAUGCUAAUACCGCAUAACAACUUGGACCGCAUGGUCCGAGUUUGAAAGAUGGCUUCGGCUAUCACUUUUGGAUGGUCCCGCGGCGUAUUAGCUAGAUGGUGAGGUAACGGCUCACCAUGGCAAUGAUACGUAGCCGACCUGAGAGGGUAAUCGGCCACAUUGGGACUGAGACACGGCCCAAACUCCUACGGGAGGCAGCAGUAGGGAAUCUUCCACAAUGGACGAAAGUCUGAUGGAGCAACGCCGCGUGAGUGAAGAAGGGUUUCGGCUCGUAAAACUCUGUUGUUAAAGAAGAACAUAUCUGAGAGUAACUGUUCAGGUAUUGACGGUAUUUAACCAGAAAGCCACGGCUAACUACGUGCCAGCAGCCGCGGUAAUACGUAGGUGGCAAGCGUUGUCCGGAUUUAUUGGGCGUAAAGCGAGCGCAGGCGGUUUUUUAAGUCUGAUGUGAAAGCCUUCGGCUCAACCGAAGAAGUGCAUCGGAAACUGGGAAACUUGAGUGCAGAAGAGGACAGUGGAACUCCAUGUGUAGCGGUGAAAUGCGUAGAUAUAUGGAAGAACACCAGUGGCGAAGGCGGCUGUCUGGUCUGUAACUGACGCUGAGGCUCGAAAGUAUGGGUAGCAAACAGGAUUAGAUACCCUGGUAGUCCAUACCGUAAACGAUGAAUGCUAAGUGUUGGAGGGUUUCCGCCCUUCAGUGCUGCAGCUAACGCAUUAAGCAUUCCGCCUGGGGAGUACGGCCGCAAGGCUGAAACUCAAAGGAAUUGACGGGGGCCCGCACAAGCGGUGGAGCAUGUGGUUUAAUUCGAAGCUACGCGAAGAACCUUACCAGGUCUUGACAUACUAUGCAAAU
This 1000-nucleotide ribosomal RNA is filed under the name Lactiplantibacillus sp. RNAcentral's name for it is "bacterial SSU rRNA". It matches the Rfam family "Bacterial small subunit ribosomal RNA", at positions 33 to 998 of the family's 1533-position model. The record is from RNAcentral. Lineage: Bacteria; Bacillati; Bacillota; Bacilli; Lactobacillales; Lactobacillaceae.